This 367-nucleotide ribosomal RNA is filed under the name uncultured organism. Its description in RNAcentral is "bacterial LSU rRNA". It matches the Rfam family "Bacterial large subunit ribosomal RNA", at positions 2099 to 2465 of the family's 2925-position model. The record is from RNAcentral.
CUUUACUGUAGCCUGGUAUUGGGUUCGGGCUUGACUUGCGCAGGAUAGGUGGGAGGCUAUGAGAUUAUCCUUGUGGGGAUGAUGGAGCCGCCAGUGAGAUACCACUCUAGUCAGGCUAGAAUUCUAACCGCUUGCCGUAAUCCGGCAGUGGAACCGUAUCAGGUGGGCAGUUUGACUGGGGCGGUCGCCUCCUAAAAGGUAACGGAGGCGCACAAAGGUUUCCUCAGGCUGGUUGGAAAUCAGCCGGAGAGUGUAAAGGCACAAGGAAGCUUGACUGCAAGAGGGACAACUCAAGCAGGGUGGAAACACGGUCUUAGUGAUCCGACGGCACUGUGUGGAAGGGCCGUCGCUCAACGGAUAAAAGUUA